RNAcentral lists this ribosomal RNA (277 nucleotides) under uncultured bacterium. RNAcentral describes it as "partial 16S ribosomal RNA". It matches the Rfam family "Bacterial small subunit ribosomal RNA", at positions 69 to 339 of the family's 1533-position model. The record is from RNAcentral.
CAGCAUGAAGGAUGCUUGCAUCUUUUGAUGGCGACCGGCGCACGGGUGAGUAACGCGUAUCCAACCUGCCUGUUACCACGGCACAGCCCGUCGAAAGGCGGAUUAAUGCCGUAUGUGGUCCUUUGCGGGCAUCUAAUUAGGACUAAAGGUUUGGCAGUAACAGAUGGGGAUGCGUCCGAUUAGCUAGACGGCGGGGUAACGGCCCACCUAGUCUUCGAUGGAUAGGGGUUCUGAGAGGAAGGUCCCCACAUUGGAACUGAGACACGGUCCAAACUCC